CUAAACAUUCACAAGUAAUAUGAUUCAUUUUAGAUCAUAAACAUUGCAUCCAUCGCUUACAUUUACGAUUCUUUACAUUUCAUUACAUAAUUCCAUCAUGUCUUUCUUACAUCACAUUUACCUCAAAAUAAGCUUUACAUUCUUUCUUUACAUCACUAAUCAUCAAAUACAAAAGAUGAUCUUAAGGUACUUUACUACAAAAUGAAACCCAACAUCGGUGGCCUCUGACUA
Molecule: long non-coding RNA, 231 nt
Filed under: Ananas comosus (pineapple)
Lineage: Eukaryota; Viridiplantae; Streptophyta; Magnoliopsida; Poales; Bromeliaceae
Description: long non-coding RNA (ACOM_LNC035732)
Source: RNAcentral